UGCAAGUCGAGCGGAUCUUCAUUAGCUUGCUUUUGAAGAUCAGCGGCGGACGGGUGAGUAACACGUGGGCAACCUGCCUGUAAGACUGGGAUAACUUCGGGAAACCGGAGCUAAUACCGGAUAAUCCUUUCCCUCACAUGAGGGAAAGCUGAAAGACGGUUUCGGCUGUCACUUACAGAUGGGCCCGCGGCGCAUUAGCUAGUUGGUGAGGUAACGGCUCACCAAGGCAACGAUGCGUAGCCGACCUGAGAGGGUGAUCGGCCACACUGGGACUGAGACACGGCCCAGACUCCUACGGGAGGCAGCAGUAGGGAAUCUUCCGCAAUGGACGAAAGUCUGACGGAGCAACGCCGCGUGAACGAUGAAGGCUUUCGGGUCGUAAAGUUCUGUUGUCAGGGAAGAACAAGUACCGGAGUAACUGCCGGUACCUUGACGGUACCUGACCAGAAAGCCACGGCUAACUACGUGCCAGCAGCCGCGGUAAUACGUAGGUGGCAAGCGUUGUCCGGAAUUAUUGGGCGUAAAGCGCGCGCAGGCGGUUCCUUAAGUCUGAUGUGAAAGCCCCCGGCUCAACCGGGGAGGGUCAUUGGAAACUGGGGAACUUGAGUGCAGAAGAGGAGAGCGGAAUUCCACGUGUAGCGGUGAAAUGCGUAGAGAUGUGGAGGAACACCAGUGGCGAAGGCGGCUCUCUGGUCUGUAACUGACGCUGAGGCGCGAAAGCGUGGGGAGCGAACAGGAUUAGAUACCCUGGUAGUCCACGCCGUAAACGAUGAGUGCUAAGUGUUAGAGGGUUUCCGCCCUUUAGUGCUGCAGCAAACGCAUUAAGCACUCCGCCUGGGGAGUACGGCCGCAAGGCUGAAACUCAAAGGAAUUGACGGGGGCCCGCACAAGCGGUGGAGCAUGUGGUUUAAUUCGAAGCAACGCGAAGAACCUUACCAGGUCUUGACAUCCUCUGACACCCUAGAGAUAGGGCGUUCCCCUUCGGGGACAGAGUGACAGUGUGCAUGGUUGUCGUC
RNAcentral lists this ribosomal RNA (1016 nucleotides) under Mesobacillus selenatarsenatis. RNAcentral describes it as "bacterial SSU rRNA". It matches the Rfam family "Bacterial small subunit ribosomal RNA", at positions 56 to 1056 of the family's 1533-position model. Lineage: Bacteria; Bacillati; Bacillota; Bacilli; Caryophanales; Bacillaceae. The record is from RNAcentral.